ACAGCAAACACCCUCAAAAAUAAUGGCAGGCCGAUGGGUAGGGUAUCAGGACGCAAAUAGUCAGUUACACUUGGUCGCAGCCUUGAAAGCGGGCUGGGCCAGACCCCCAAAACACGCCAGGAGGCACACUUUGGAAUGGAAGAGAUGAGUGGCUAAAAAUCUGGCGGGCGGCGUGGCAGGCUGGCCCAACCUGCAGGCUGGACCAGGCGCUGACUGCACUGCACGUGCUGGACUUGUCUAGUGGCGGUACGCAAGGCGUGGACAGACGUGGACAGACGUGUGCACAAAAUCCUACACUGGAUCUAACAGGAGAGACAAGGAGCCCUGGCGGCUUGGUUAGUCUUGUUAUGGGGAGAAGGAAUGCACACUUCUCUUCUAAUCAUGUAACACAUCAUCAUAUUGUGCUAUCUGGUAAGCCCACUCUUGACCCAUCAUAGGGUAGUGUCAUGCCCUGCCCCGCUAGGCCUGGUGUUCCUCGGGCCUCCCAGCUGGAGACCCUUCUCAACUCACCAUACGCUUUCACAUCACACACAAAAUAUACUAGGGACUGGAAAAGCUGUGUCCCUCUAACACCACUGAAGGCCCAAUCUUUAGCUGUCGCCGACAGAGCAGGCCAUGACGGCACACUCAUGGUGCAGCCGAGGCCACAAACCACAAUAUUAUGCUACAUAGUCAAUGGAGAACGCCUGUCUCCCUAGCCAACCGUGUGGCAUGGUCGGGUAUCAGUUGAGAGCCCAAACGUCAUGGCAUACUGCCAUUCACCUGCCAUGUAGUUCUGCAGGCACAACCCCCCAACUGCCGGUUAAUUAUGCAACAACCAGAUCAGCCUGUCCACAGAAAGAACAUUCCCAUUGAUUCGUCCACUAGACCUCUCCUUGCAUGGCCAGCAACCUGUGCCACCUGGUGCUUGCUACCAAAUCGUCUGUUAUGCAGCAAUGCAUCACGUUGUGUUUGUGCGAUGCAUGUCACCCAACGUGUCAAAACCCCAACCGCCCGCGUGUGUAGCCCACUCACGUGCUCAGAGUGCUAGCUCACAGUGUGGUGUGGCGGGGCAAUGCUAAGUGCUUUGCCCAGCGCUGUGUCGGCACGCAGAAAGCCACUACAACCUCAACACAUGUGCUUGAGAACGACACCGCACAUGAAACAGUCCGAGCGCCCCCCCUGCCACCUCAGAGCACCCCACCUCACGGAGAGGCAGAGGCAUGUUUGCCAACCCCCAACCCAACAGCCCAGAGCUGGAACGAUUUUGGCAGCUGCUGACGGCAGAAAUCGAUCAGCUUGCCUACUAUGGCCUUCAAGAGGUACUGCAAUAUCGUAGACAUCAAGUCCACCACACAGGGGUAUGACGCCGGUCUUCUGAAGAGGGGCAAAAACAUGUCCACACCUGUUUCUCCACGCUCGCGUAGACUUAGCCUCCCUCUUUCAGGAAUUAACUUAUAUGACAUAUAAGGAUGCAAAAGUUUGACUCCUGUCGCAUUCUGCGAGGGUGGCUGUCAUCACAUUUCGCGAGGCAUGCUUUCGCCAGGGUCGCACUCUUAAGCCCGGGAGCAUGUUUCUAGUCUCCUUGCAUGUAUGUUUGAUGACGGCAACAAUAAUUGGCAUCAAAGCGCGGUAACUGUGCAGACUUGAGAAGCCUGUUCACCGCGACGUCACCGAAUAGGCCGCAAACAAAAUGUUUGAGGUUUCUAUAGUAUCAAGGUGAUACUUAUAGAACGCUGGUAGCUGAUUCGGAGGUCGGCCUGACGACCGGCAAGCGACCGUGCCCAAGCUGGGCGGAACACGCGAGCUAGACCAGUCUAGGCCGUGUCGUACGCCCGGGACCACGUUCGCCCGAUCUAUAGCCGGAGUUUGGGGACCGGACGACAAGGCCAAGGCAGGUAACCAGGCUGUGCCGUUUGACCCCUCUCCCAGACCGGCGUCAUACCCGUGUGAGUCCACCACUUUGAAUCCGAAAGCGAGGCCGGCCACGUUCAGCAGGUCGGGCUGUGCGGGUGCGUAGAUGGCCCAGAUCACGACCGACCAGAUGCAAAGCUCCAUCACUACACUGACGAACUGCGCCAUCAUUGCCCAGCAAGGAGAAACCGCAGGAAGCGGAUAAGCGCGGCCAUAAGAAGCACCGUG
This 2121-nucleotide long non-coding RNA is filed under the name Chlamydomonas reinhardtii. Its description in RNAcentral is "long non-coding RNA (CREI_LNC000915)". Lineage: Eukaryota; Viridiplantae; Chlorophyta; Chlorophyceae; Chlamydomonadales; Chlamydomonadaceae. The record is from RNAcentral.